Phascolarctos cinereus (koala) is the source of this 514-nucleotide non-coding RNA. NCBI's taxonomy places the organism in Eukaryota, Metazoa, Chordata, Mammalia, Diprotodontia, Phascolarctidae. The record is from RefSeq and is a predicted model, not a curated record.
GCCAGAUUGUGAGGAUUUUCCAUGCCAAACAGAGGAGAUUGUACUUUGUCUUACUGGCAAUAUGGAAUCACUGGAGUUUUUUGAGGAGAUAGACUUAACCUCGCAGACUUAACUGGAGGAGGCCAAGAGAGCAUGGGUGAAAUUAGGAUGGAGAUGGGGUAAGAAAAUCAAGAAAAGACUAUCAGGGCAACAUCCACCCUCUUCAUGAUGAGACAGCAGUUGACAUCUCUAAAAUUGAGCAGCCAUAGCACCUACCCACAAUUGGAUUUGAGAUUGAUGCCUUCAAAGCUAUAUGGGAAAGGGCAGAGGAAGAAUACAAUCAGAGAUAUCACCAGUCAUUCUUCAGACCAUUGCAGGAAGAAGGAAUUCAUGAUGGACUUUGGAGAGGCUACUUUCAGCUACUUGAUCCAUGGCUAUACCAAGGUGUCACUAAGUCACAAGCAUCAGUUCCAUGGAGUUGAUCAGGCCUGAACUAGGCCAACACCAGCAUGAAGGAUGGAGAUCCAUUCAGGAG